GUCCACGCUGUAAACGAUGAUAACUAGCUGUCCGGGUUCAUGGAAUCUGGGUGGCGCAGCUAACGCAUUAAGUUAUCCGCCUGGGGAGUACGGUCGCAAGAUUAAAACUCAAAGGAAUUGACGGGGGCCUGCACAAGCGGUGGAGCAUGUGGUUUAAUUCGAAGCAACGCGCAGAACCUUACCAACGUUUGACAUCCCUAUCGCGGUUACCAGAGAUGGUUUCCUUCAGUUCGGCUGGAUAGGUGACAGGUGCUGCAUGGCUGUCGU
This 267-nucleotide ribosomal RNA is filed under the name uncultured bacterium. RNAcentral's name for it is "partial 16S ribosomal RNA". It matches the Rfam family "Bacterial small subunit ribosomal RNA", at positions 793 to 1055 of the family's 1533-position model. The record is from RNAcentral.